UACAGAGACUGCAAGCGUUAUUCGGAUUCACUGGGCGUAAAGGGUGCGCAGGCGGUCGUGUGUGUCAGAUGUGAAAUCCCGGAGCUUAACUCCGGAACUGCGUCUGAAACUACAUGACUAGAGCAUUGGAGAGGGAAGUGGAAUUCAUGGUGUAGCAGUGAAAUGCGUAGAUAUCAUGAGGAACACCAAUGGCGAAGGCAGCUCGCUGGGACGGUACUGACGCUGAGACGCGAAAGCGUGGGGAGCAAACGGG
RNAcentral lists this ribosomal RNA (253 nucleotides) under uncultured bacterium. RNAcentral describes it as "partial 16S ribosomal RNA". It matches the Rfam family "Bacterial small subunit ribosomal RNA", at positions 524 to 776 of the family's 1533-position model. The record is from RNAcentral.